GCUGGGCAUGGUGGUGCAUGCCUGUAAUCCCAGCUACUCGGGAAGCUGAGGCAGGAGAAUCGCUUGAACCCGGGAGGCGGAGGUUGCAGUGAGCCGAGAUUGCACCACUGCACUCCAGCCUGGGCGACAGAGCAAGAUUCUGUCUCAC
RNAcentral lists this small RNA (148 nucleotides) under Cercocebus atys (sooty mangabey). Its description in RNAcentral is "Metazoan signal recognition particle RNA". Lineage: Eukaryota; Metazoa; Chordata; Mammalia; Primates; Cercopithecidae. RNAcentral also lists the same sequence under 2 other names. The record is from Rfam by way of RNAcentral.